UAAACGAUGAGUGCUAAGUGUUGGAGGUUUCCCCUUCAGUGCUGCAGCUAACGCAUUAAGCACUCCGCUGGGGAGUACGACCGCAAGGUUGAAACUCAAAGGAAUUGACGGGGGCCCGCACAAGCGGUGGAGCAUGUGGUUUAAUUCGAAGCAACGCGAAGAACCUUACCAGGUCUUGACAUCCUUUGACCACUCUAGAGAUAGAGCUUUCCCUUCGGGGACAAAGUGACAGGUGGUGCAUGGUUGUCGUCAGCUCGUGUCGUGAGAUGUUGGGUUAAGUCCCGCAACGAGCGCAACCCUUAUUGUUAGUUGCCAUCAUUCAGUUGGGCACUCUAGCGAGACUGCCGGUGACAAACCGGAGGAAGGUGGGGAUGACGUCAAAUCAUCAUGCCCCUUAUGACCUGGGCUACACACGUGCUACAAUGGGAAGUACAACGAGUCGCUAGGCCGCGAGGUCAUGCAAAUCUCUUAAAGCUUCUCUCAGUUCGGAUUGCAGGCUGCAACUCGCCUGCAUGAAGCCGGAAUCGCUAGUAAUCGCGGAUCAGCACGCCGCGGUGAAUACGUUCCCGGGCCUUGUACACACCGCCCGUCACACCACGAAAGUUUGUAACACCCGAAGUCGGUGAGGUAACCUUUUGGAGCCAGCCGCCUAAGGUGGGAUAGAUGAUUGGGGUGAAGUCGUAACAAGGUAACCAAGGGCGAAUUCUG
This 708-nucleotide ribosomal RNA is filed under the name uncultured Enterococcus sp. RNAcentral describes it as "bacterial SSU rRNA". It matches the Rfam family "Bacterial small subunit ribosomal RNA", at positions 803 to 1515 of the family's 1533-position model. Lineage: Bacteria; Bacillati; Bacillota; Bacilli; Lactobacillales; Enterococcaceae. The record is from RNAcentral.